UCCUACGGGAGGCAGCAGUGAGGAAUAUUGGUCAAUGGAGGCAACUCUGAACCAGCCAAGUCGCGUGAAGGAUGACGGCCCUACGGGUUGUAAACUUCUUUUUUAAGGGAAUAAAGUGAGCCACGUGUGGCUUUUUGCAUGUACCUUACGAAUAAGGAUCGGCUAACUCCGUGCCAGCAGCCGCGGUAAUAAUCGU
RNAcentral lists this ribosomal RNA (196 nucleotides) under uncultured bacterium. RNAcentral describes it as "partial 16S ribosomal RNA". It matches the Rfam family "Bacterial small subunit ribosomal RNA", at positions 337 to 528 of the family's 1533-position model. The record is from RNAcentral.